RNAcentral lists this ribosomal RNA (253 nucleotides) under uncultured bacterium. RNAcentral describes it as "partial 16S ribosomal RNA". It matches the Rfam family "Bacterial small subunit ribosomal RNA", at positions 524 to 776 of the family's 1533-position model. The record is from RNAcentral.
UACAGAGGGGGCAAGCGUUGUUCGGAAUUACUGGGCGUAAAGGGCGCGUAGGCGGCCUGUUAAGUCGAACGUGAAAUCCCCGGGCUCAACCCGGGAACUGCGUCCGAUACUGGCAGGCUUGAAUCCGGGAGAGGGAUGUGGAAUUCCAGGUGUAGCGGUGAAAUGCGUAGAUAUCUGGAGGAAUACCGGUGGCGAAGGCGGCAUCCUGGACCGGCAUUGACGCUGAGGAGCGAAAGCUAGGGGAGCAAACGGG